RNAcentral lists this long non-coding RNA (602 nucleotides) under Sorghum bicolor (sorghum). Its description in RNAcentral is "long non-coding RNA (SBIC_LNC018099)". The record is from RNAcentral. Lineage: Eukaryota; Viridiplantae; Streptophyta; Magnoliopsida; Poales; Poaceae.
AUGGCUAGGCUACGGAAUUUAAAGUCUACCGAUAGGACUUAGAUAGUGGAGAGGACUUACUCAGUGGGUAACUUCAGUCAAGUCCCCGUCUUGCGGUGAUGCUAUACGUGCGUCUUCCUCCCAUCUUGCUUCUGUCUCUUUUGCUUCUUCCUUCUUUAGUUCCAACUCUUCAGUUCUAUUCUCUUUCUCCCAGGCUUCUAAUCGGGCUAGGAUCUCUUCUUUCUCUUUCUUGGCGAUCUGGUCCAUCCGUUCAGCUUCUACGGCCCACUCACUCCAUCAGGGUGCGUGCGUGUCUUCUUCUUCCUCCAUGAGGUGAUCUUCAUAUCUUACCACCUUGCCAGGAAAGUCUUCACAUCUGCAGUGAGGCCAGAUAGCCUGACGGCGGGUUUGGCGUCUUCUCCUGUUGCGUUCCUUCCUAGUUUGCUCAUGGUUACAUAAUGUUCUAAAUUGACAGCGUACCUUUUCGGUGGGUAGGUUGAAAAGGACAUGCCCUGAUCUGAUGUAGAUGUUGGCUUUAGCUGUGUAGAGGAACGGUCUUUCUAAGAGGAUCAGAAUCUCAUCAUCUCCCUGUAUGUCAAGCACUAGAAAAUCUGCAGGUAUAU